GACGAACGCUGGCGGCGUGCUUAACACAUGCAAGUUGAACGGAGCACAUCAAGUAGCAAUACGAGGUGUGCUUAGUAGCGGACGGGUGAGUAACGCGUGAGUAACCUACCUUUGUGAGGGGGACAACAGCUGGAAACGGCUGCUAAUACCGCAUAAGGCCACGAUCUCGAGUGAGGAUGUGGUAAAAGAUUUAUCGCACAAAGAUGGACUCGCGUCCCAUUAGCUAGUUGGUGAGGUAACGGCCCACCAAGGCAACGAUGGGUAGCCGACCUGAGAGGGUGAUCGGCCACACUGGAACUGAGACACGGUCCAGACUCCUACGGGAGGCAGCAGUGGGGAAUAUUGGGCAAUGGGCGCAAGCCUGACCCAGCAACGCCGCGUGAGGGAAGAAGGUCUUCGGAUUGUAAACCUCUGUCCUUGGGGACGAAAAAAUGAACGGUACCCAAGGAGGAAGCUCCGGCUAACUACGUGCCAGCAGCCGCGGUAAAACGUCUAACUG
Molecule: ribosomal RNA, 499 nt
Filed under: uncultured bacterium
Lineage: Bacteria
Description: bacterial SSU rRNA
Rfam family: Bacterial small subunit ribosomal RNA
Source: RNAcentral